GACGAACGCUGGCGGCGUGCUUAACACAUGCAAGUCGAGCGGAAAGGCCCUUCGGGGUACUCGAGCGGCGAACGGGUGAGUAACACGUGAGUAACCUGCCCUAGACUUUGGGAUAACCCUCGGAAACGGGGGCUAAUACCGGAUACUCCUUCUAAAUCGCAUGAUUUAGUUGGGAAAGUUUUUCGGUCUGGGAUGGACUCGCGGCCUAUCAGCUUGUUGGUGGGGUAAUGGCCUACCAAGGCGAGGACGGGUAGCCGGCCUGAGAGGGCGACCGGCCACACUGGGACUGAGACACGGCCCAGACUCCUACGGGAGGCAGCAGUGGGGAAUAUUGCACAAUGGGCGGAAGCCUGAUGCAGCGACGCCGCGUGAGGGAUGACGGCCUUCGGGUUGUAAACCUCUUUCAGCAGGGACGAAGCGUAAGUGACGGUACCUGCAGAAGAAGCGCCGGCCAACUACGUG
RNAcentral lists this ribosomal RNA (462 nucleotides) under uncultured bacterium. Its description in RNAcentral is "partial 16S ribosomal RNA". It matches the Rfam family "Bacterial small subunit ribosomal RNA", at positions 28 to 507 of the family's 1533-position model. The record is from RNAcentral.